RNAcentral lists this long non-coding RNA (3085 nucleotides) under Panax ginseng (ginseng). RNAcentral describes it as "long non-coding RNA (PGIN_LNC000831)". Lineage: Eukaryota; Viridiplantae; Streptophyta; Magnoliopsida; Apiales; Araliaceae. The record is from RNAcentral.
GCCUCAAGCCCAACAAGAAGUUACAAUACUGUAAUGAGAAUUGAAACAUAAAAAAACAGACUAGCAGCAUCAAAGCACGGAAUAAAGCGAUCCCAUAAGCAAGUGAAAACCAAAAAUAGCCAUAACAAACCAGCCAAAAAAAUCUCGCACCAAAGCAGCACCAAAACAGAGGACAUGCAGUCCACCACCCCAUGCGCAGCAACAAAAAGGAGAAUGCCCACACCAGCCCCCCCAACCCAGCCCACGACCCAUAACUGAAAUCAGCAUAACAACAGACUGCAUGUCCCUGAGCAUAACAACAGAAGUAACGCUACAGCAAACCCCGAGCAGCCACCCCACACAGCAACAUGACCAAUGGCCAGCCUCAUACUGACUGCAUAACAGCAACCCAGACCAGCAAUGUUACAGCAGCGUGGUGCCUAUGCAAUCAGCAGUAACAAACCCACCAUAUUGAAUUAUUGAAGUAUAUAGCAUUAAAGCUUCCCCAAUGCAGAAUACCCACCAUAUAACAGCAACAAGGCAGUAGCAAUUAUUAUCCUAACUGCCUAACAACCUACCAAGUAAGCCUCCAAGCCUGACAAAGGCAGUAACCAGUAGCCCAAUGCCAGCCACCCCAGGAGCAAGAGAAACAGCAGUCGCCAACAUCUAAAAUAUCAUUUAACUGCUAUCAAAAUCAAUAGUCUAUUACCAGGCUCACUAAAACUUCAAAACAUGCUAUUAAAGGGAUAGAACAAUUAGCAUACUAUUAUCAGUUGUAAAUGAUAUAAAGCUUCUAUUUUUCUUUUUCAGUCCCCACAUUAUUGAAUUUCUGGACUUCUGUACUUAAUUUUAAACAAUCCUCUGUCCAAAAUCAAGAUUUGGUUUGUUCAAAGAGUGAUGAAUCCUUAAACCAACUAUCGAAUGAACUUAACCAAAUUAUAUUGUCCAUUUAAGGUAUUUAAUCAAGUAGCAGCAAGGUUUUGCAUAAUUUGCACCACAAGCCAUCCCAAUCACUUUCAAUAUUUAGAGUGUGACUUGUUUUUAUAUACACGGUUAUAUUGUAUAUUAGUGUCUACAAAAUGUGUAAGGAGUUCCUAAGGUAAUUGAAUCUUUUCAGUUUUCGUUAUCAUAGAAGUUAUCUUUUCUUUUACAAUGCAAAUUUCAAAAACUUUACACUAUUAUUAAUGCUCCAGCCCAAGAUAUGUGCCAACCCAAAACCCAGGCACCAGCAAAAAGCCAGCAGGGAAGCAGCCACACAAAAUUAACCCGACACCAACCCAACAUGAGCUAAAAAGUAACGAGCAUAAGCAGCAAGGUCAACAACAAAAAAGCAGCAAAACCAGCCCCUCCUCUGGUAUUCAAUGCAAGGACUGUCAUGUGAUGCAGAGGGGGAGAAUGAACAACCUAUUCACCAAAUUAACAGAUUUGAAGGAGGAUGGGAAAGAAAAAGAGGGGGGAACUUGACAUACUUAUUCAUCCAUAUGAAUUCUUUUCUAUGAAUACUUUCAGAAGAUUAUCAGCUGACCCACGUAUAAAUAUUUAUCAAAGUAAGAACUAAGAACCAUUAUGCUUAACCAUUGAUAACAUAAGUGAAAAAUGAAGUUGCAUUCCCCUUGAGAGGCAAAAGAGUUCCACCGUCACAAACCCAAAUAAAAUUAAACUAUGUACACCCUCCCUUAAGUGACCUUAAUGGCCUAAUCCAUUGGCACAUAUUUUGAAAAGAGGGCAAGUCAACUAUGGCUAUAUAGUUCCUUGUCUUUAAGCAAGACUUAAUGCUCCCACUAAAACCAAACUAAAUUACUAAAGUAUGAAAUACUACCUUUUAACAGCUACCCGUCAUGUAGAACUUUAAUCAAGGACAAAAACGUAACAAGGACAAUUGGUUGUUCAAACAAAUAACUUAAACAAAAGUUUUCUAUUUAUUUCAUUUAUACUGUUGAAAUCAUACUUUUGUUUGUGCUAAAUACAAAAGAUAUCACGAUGCAAAAUCAAGAACCCCCACAGAGUACAACAGAAACUUCAAUAAACAAGACAAACACAAAAUAAAAAUGAGAAUGAUAUUAAAUGCAUUGUGGUAUGAAUAUGAUACAAGACCAUUAGAACAGAAAGUAUGGGCUUACAAAUAUAAUACAAGUGUACAAGACAAAAUACCAAUGGAGACAUAGAGCUAAUUUCCCUUCUUUCAGCUUCACAUAAUCAAUAAUUCUUAUUUUUAGCUAAGCAAGAAACAAAGAUUCUAGAAUACUAUGUAACCAAAUUCUGAGCUCAGAUAUUCUGAUUUGUAUUGUUUCUGGAAAAAACAUAUUUCAACGGAUCAAAAUGGACUAGGUACAAUUUUUAGUUAUGCAAACCACGCUGAUUGAUUAAUUAUUUCAUUAGGUAGCAUAUUCUACUGACUCAAAGUUUAAGCUUCUGAUUAAUUACUCUUCAACUAAAUUUUCUUGCAUGUGUAAAAUUGGAAUUUAUAAACAAACUAAUAAAAACACAUUUCUAUGAUUUCGUAAGCCAAACAGAACUUGGUGGUGUACCAAAUUCAAAGAAAAUAAUAUGCAGGUCAUAUUACAACAACAACGAGGGAACCUGUUAUUUCAACUUGACUGAAUAACCCAAAAAAUAGAGACAAAAAUUUACAGAUAGAGACAUACUUUCUAUAUUAUAAAAAAGCAAACUCCAGCAAAAUUCAUCUGGGCAUACAUAAACACACUUUUUAUAUUAUAAAAAAUCAUCAUUUACAAACAGCAACCCAUGAUUUGAAAAAAUUAGCAAAAAAGAAUCCAGAUGGAAGACAAUCCUGGUAUAUAUAAUAAAAAUAUGUAAGUAGAUAAAUAAAGGAAGGUGUAAUGAAUAGGAGAAACUCACCCGGCCACAUAGGGCUAAUUUCAGAAAACCAGUAAAUGAAAUGAAAUAUAAACAAGUAAAUAUAAUGUGGGAAUUUACGGUGAUCAAUUCAUGUUGAAGAAAUAAGUAAAUAUAUUUACAAAGACAAUCAAUCAAAUGAAAUAUAAAUCAAAAUGAUGACCAGUAAUAAGUCAACAUGAAAACCAGUGAUAUGCCACUCAUCUAGCCCAAGAGCCCUUGUCAGAAAGAGCUACACCUCCUGCUUGUG